This 588-nucleotide long non-coding RNA is filed under the name Macaca nemestrina (pig-tailed macaque). RNAcentral describes it as "lncRNA (ENSMNEG00000045978.1)". The record is from RNAcentral. Lineage: Eukaryota; Metazoa; Chordata; Mammalia; Primates; Cercopithecidae.
GCUGGAGCCAAGCACCCUGGUGCUCAGUUGUGUGCAAUUGCAGCUGGAUAAUGGUUUGAUUAUGGCUAUAGCAUGGCCAGGCAGGGCCCUUCUUCCACCACCUGGACCUUCACAGCCAAAACUGAUUCUGGGAACCAAUGGCCCUUCCAAGAGCUGGGUUUGGAGCCUUCCCUUGGAAUGAAGAACCCUCCCCAACUGGAGGGUGAUGAUCUCGAAGGUCCAGCUGACAACACGCAUGGGUGUCAAGUCAUUGGCCACGUCCAUGCCUCAAGUGUCCUGAAACAGAUUAUCAAAAGAAAACUGCUGUUGAGCAAGUUCAGACUGGCAUGCAGAUUCCCUCGCCUUCAAGCUUAAGAUAUCAACUACUGUUGGAAUUAGGGAAAGAAUAAAAAUAAGCCACGAAAAGUAGCUUUUCCACCUGAUGAAAAUACCUAAAACCGCAAAUCAAGUAUAAGAAUGUAAUAUUGAUUUAACAUACAACCUUCAACAAAAAUAAAGUUUAUACAACUCACUAGGAAAUAAAAUGCAUGUAGAAUUUAUCCUGUUUGUCAACGUAAUUCUUCAUGAGUCACAAGUAUUAUAGCCAAG